Molecule: ribosomal RNA, 253 nt
Filed under: uncultured bacterium
Lineage: Bacteria
Description: partial 16S ribosomal RNA
Rfam family: Bacterial small subunit ribosomal RNA
Source: RNAcentral
GACGAACCGUCCAAACGUUGUUCGGAAUCACUGGGCUUAAAGGGCGCGUAGGCGGGUUCCCAAGUCGGUGGUGAAAUCUUUCGGCCCAACCGGAAAACAGCCGCCGAUACUGGGGACCUCGAGGGAGGUAGGGGUCGAGGGAACUUCCGGUGGAGCGGUGAAAUGCGUAGAUAUCGGAAGGAACGCCGGUGGCGAAAGCGCUCGACUGGACCUCUUCUGACGCUGAGGCGCGAAAGCCAGGGGAGCAAACGGG